RNAcentral lists this ribosomal RNA (253 nucleotides) under uncultured bacterium. RNAcentral's name for it is "partial 16S ribosomal RNA". It matches the Rfam family "Bacterial small subunit ribosomal RNA", at positions 524 to 776 of the family's 1533-position model. The record is from RNAcentral.
UACGAAGGGGGCUAGCGUUGCUCGGAAUCACUGGGCGUAAAGCGCACGUAGGCGGAUCUCUAAGUCGGGGGUGAAAUCCUGGAGCUCAACUCCAGAACUGCCUUCGAUACUGGGGAUCUUGAGUCCGGGAGAGGUGAGUGGAACUCCGAGUGUAGAGGUGAAAUUCGUAGAUAUUCGGAAGAACACCAGUGGCGAAGGCGGCUCACUGGCCCGGUACUGACGCUGAGGUGCGAAAGCGUGGGGAGCAAACAGG